Long non-coding RNA from Syngnathus typhle (broad-nosed pipefish), 1163 nucleotides. RefSeq lists it as uncharacterized. The transcript is spliced from 2 exons. The record is from RefSeq and is a predicted model, not a curated record. NCBI's taxonomy places the organism in Eukaryota, Metazoa, Chordata, Actinopteri, Syngnathiformes, Syngnathidae.
UGUAUAUUUAUUGCAUCAUGAGAACAAUUAAGCAACCGCCAAACAUUAAUAUCACAAAAACUCACACGGAUGAUAACUCACUUGCUAUUCUGGGAAAAUGAAACCAAAAUCAGCUCGUCCAAACCCGACCACAAUAUCACAAUUUCGCCUAAUACUAAGCAAUACGGCAUGAUAUGAUCACGCAUUCGUUCGUUUGAACCAAACCGUGUUUUAACCUUUAAUCUGACAUUGUAAAACACUGACACUCAACGAGUUCCACGGAAAUUCCGACGGCCAUGUAUUGUCAUGUAACCACCCCCGGUUGUCCAAAACAACUAGCAUUGCUACCAUUAGCCUUGGCGACGCAUAGCAAGCCGCUGACAGGGAGAAAAAACUAAGAAAUAUGAGCGGAUAGCGGUGACGUCAACUGAUCUCGUUCGGCGGUGGAGCGCGGCUGCUUAGUUUUCAGUUGGAGCGCCCUCUAUUGGUUGACGGUGGAGGUGACGAGUGACUGCGAGAUCAAGUUGAUUAAUUGGUUGAUAAUUGAUUCAAAUAUUUUUGCACAUUUGUUUUAUUAAUGUACUGUUUUCACUGUCUUUGGUCUUGCAUAAUUUAUAUUUUACUCCAUUUAUAGCACUUUGUUAGCAGUGGUUGUUUUAACUAUACAAAGAUGAGUUGAGUUGAGACCUCUCGGUAUGAAUAAAUUACAAAUAGAAAGGGGGUAGUAGUCCAAGAAUGGCCCAACCUCCUGGUGAUCAUAUAAUCCCAUCCCAUUUGAGAAUUCAAUUCACAAGGAUGUGUGACAUUACCUUUAAUAAUAAAUCCCAGAGAAGCAUGAUACACAGUCCGUCUUUCUCAGACAUUGAUCUGCAGCACUCAUAUAUGAAAGGUCACCAUUAUUUAAAAUGGGUUUGAACAGAAAUGCAAUGAGAAGGUGCUUUUUAACUUCAAAUGAAAAAGAAAACAUUGGAAGAAAAAAAAAAUCCAAUUUUAAUUGAGUUUAAUUUGAGAUUUCAUUUCCCUGAAGGUUAUUGCAAUGUUCAAUUACUGGUGAGCGUUUUACCUCUGACCUGCCUACUGUGAUGCAGACACGCCCUGUUUGAUGCUGUUUUUUUUAAUUUUUUGCACAUCUAAUAAGAUUAAGACUGAAAAACUAAAAUGGCCACAACCCCAUGUGAAUCUAA